AUCUGUUGGCCAGAAGGACCUUCGCCCGCAAGGGAAAGGCUGGACGCUCCCCCCGCAUGGAUGCUUAAUACCAGAACAAUCCUGUACUACCCCUCAGCACAGAUACCCCUGCUCCGACCACUGGACUGUGCUCUCCCCGAGCUGGAACAGAACCCAGGAGUCCUGAUUCCUUCAGCCCUGCACUAACCAUUAGACAACACACCUCCCAGAGCCAGGGACAGAGCGCAGGAGCCCUGCCUCCCAGCCUCUCACCACUACGACCAAUACAGGAGCAGCAAGACAAUUCACAGGUGCACGGAGUUUAAGGCCAGAAGGGAUCGCUGGUCAUCAUCAUCAUUCUAGACUGACCUCCUGCAGAACCCAGGCCAGGGCGCUCUACUCAGUCACACCCGCAUCCAGCCCAACAAAUGGUAGUGGAAUAAGAGCAGAUCUUUUAGAAAGAAACAUCUAGCCUGGAUUUAAAGACUCCAAGCGAUGGAGGAUUCACUGCAUCCCUUGGUGGCCAGAGAGGAUGGACAAGCUCUCCCACAAGUCACUGGGAAAAUCCAACUAGCGGCUCAGUUUACUGCAGCUCUAAGAGCCACGGGAGGUGCUCCCAGGAGGCCUAGCGACGCACACGAGCGGGGACGCAGAAGCUCGCGUGUUCGUCUGCAGCGGGGCCCCUCGCACUCGAGCUCGGCCAAAUGAAUGCUGUCACAGAGACACCCCUCGACGGGUCUGAGCCAGAGCACCCUCCCCAUCCCACCAGCACACAGCCGAGCAGCGAGCCCAGCGGGUUUUCCAUUACAUACCGACGCUCCAUCGAGAGCUGCGGACGGUCCCCAUUUAACCCCAGAACGGGGACAAUGCAGGCAGCGCAGACCUCCCCACACCCCAGCAUCUUCCAACAUACCUCAAACCCUGCCAAGGAUUGCAGACCAGCGCCCCUCGAGGGCCCCAAGGCCUCCCCAUGUGUGCCCAGAACACACUUCACUAGGAAAGAAGCUUCCCUCACACCCCCUUCUCAAUCCUUAACAAAAGGCUCAGAUGAUCCUAGAAAUUAGAGUAACUUAGUGCCAGAU
Long non-coding RNA from Mauremys mutica (yellowpond turtle), 1061 nucleotides. RefSeq lists it as uncharacterized. The record is from RefSeq and is a predicted model, not a curated record. The transcript is spliced from 3 exons. Lineage: Eukaryota; Metazoa; Chordata; Testudines; Geoemydidae.